GUGCCAGCCGCCGCGGUAAUACGUAGGGGGCGAGCGUUAUCCGGAAUUAUUGGGCGUAAAGCGCGCGCAGGCGGCCGAUUAAGUCAGGUGUGAAAGGCUGCGGCUCAACCGCAGAGCGGCACCUGAAACUGGUCGGCUUGAGUGCAGGAGAGGGGAGUGGAAUUCCCGGUGUAGCGGUGGAAUGCGUAGAGAUCGGGAGGAACACCAGUGGCGAAGGCGGCUCUCUGGCCUGUAACUGACGCUGAGGCGCGAAAGCGUGGGGGAGCAAACAGGAUUAGAUACCCUGGUAGGCCCACGCCGUAAACGAUGAGUGCUAGGUGUGGGGGGGUCCCCCUCUCAGUGCCGAAGGUAACCCAUUAAGCACUCCGGCCUGGGGGAGUACGGCCGCAAGGCUGAAAACCUCAAAGGAAUUGACGGGGGGCCCGCACAAGGCGGGUGGGAGCCAUGUGGUUUAAUUCCGAAGCAAACGCGAAAGAACCUUUACCCAGGGCUUGACAUCCCGCGCUUGAACGCGCUUCCAGAAGAUGGGGGCUUUCCUCUUUCCGGGGCAGCGGGUGACAGGGUGGGUGCAUGUUUGUCGUCAGGCUCGGUGUCGGUGAGAUGUUGGGGUUCCAGUCCCGCAACGAGCGCAACCCUUUAUCGCCAGUUGCCAGCAUUUCGAAUGGGCACUCUGGCGAGACAGCCGGUGAAGCCGGAGAGGUGGGGAUGACGUCAAUCAUCAUGCCCUUAUGUCUGGGCUACACACGUGCUACAUGCCAGUACAAGGAGCGACCGCGAGGGAGCAUCCAAAACUGUCUCAGUCGGUCGAGCUGCACUCGCUGCUGAGCGGAUCGCUAGUAUCGCGAUCA
This 848-nucleotide ribosomal RNA is filed under the name uncultured bacterium. Its description in RNAcentral is "bacterial SSU rRNA". It matches the Rfam family "Bacterial small subunit ribosomal RNA", at positions 505 to 1351 of the family's 1533-position model. The record is from RNAcentral.